This is a long non-coding RNA of Gavialis gangeticus (Gharial), 740 nucleotides long. RefSeq lists it as uncharacterized. The record is from RefSeq and is a predicted model, not a curated record. NCBI's taxonomy places the organism in Eukaryota, Metazoa, Chordata, Crocodylia, Gavialidae. The transcript has 2 exons.
UUCUUUGGUCUGGGCUGCUUCUUUUUUUAAUCUAAAUCAUUUCAGAAAGUGCUGUCUGGACGAUGGUUUUCAAAUCCCCGAGUUGCAUUGGGACAUGCUUCCUUUGACCUCAGCCCCGCGGCCGCGCAGUUUGGUGCGCUCAGGCUGCCGCGGCCGGCGGAGCACAGCGGGGCCCGGGGCUGCCGGAAAGGAGACAACCCCGCGGGGACAAAUGUCGAGUAGGACCAAGCACCGGCACCGUGACCAGCAGUCACGCAGUUCCCCUCUUCCACGAUCAAGGCAAAGUCGGGCUUAGCGCCAUGCGAGCGACCGGGCUUGAUGUUUUCUCCGUAUUUGGGACUGUUUGCGUGUUUUAAAAAAAUCAACUCCCUCGUGUUUGAAUGGUCGGGGAUACCGGCUUGGCGGCGGCACCGGCCGAACCGUGCAAAACACCGGUGUAAACGGUGACUUGAAUCUUGGUUCUUUCUCCCUUUAUACUAUUCCCAGUUUUAUACUAAACUACAUCGAGAUUUGUUUUUCUCAGGGACACUUUGCUGUCUCUCAUACCCAAACGGCAUCCUAACAGGGAACGAAAUUUAGCAGCGGAUCCCUGACUGUGCCUUGCCAGCCGGCCUGAAAAUUGAUCCACAGCUGCAGCAAGAAGUAACAGAGCCGCGAGGGAGGCUCCGCACUGAAGAAAGAAGACGGCUGCUCUUGCCUUUCUAGAUGGCACAUCCUCCAUUAAAUCCGCCUUAAAUCUG